GACGAACGCUGGCGGCGUGCUUAACACAUGCAAGUCGAACGGAAAGGCCCUGCUUUUGUGGGGUGCUCGAGUGGCGAACGGGUGAGUAACACGUGAGUAACCUGCCCUUGACUUUGGGAUAACUUCAGGAAACUGGGGCUAAUACCGGAUAGGAGCUCCUGCUGCAUGGUGGGGGUUGGAAAGUUUCGGCGGUUGGGGAUGGACUCGCGGCUUAUCCGCUUGUUGGUGGGGUAGUGGCUUACCAAGGCUUUGACGGGUAGCCGACCUGAGAGGGUGACCGGCCACAUUGGGACUGAGAUACGGCCCAGACUCCUACGGGAGGCAACAGUGGGGAAUAUUGCACAAUGGGCGGAAGCCUGAUGCAGCAACGCCGCGUGCGGGAUGACGGCCUUCGGGUUGUAAACCGCUUUCGCCUGUGACGAAGCGUGAGUGACGGUAAUGGGUAAAGAAGCACCGGCUAACUACGUG
This 468-nucleotide ribosomal RNA is filed under the name uncultured bacterium. RNAcentral describes it as "partial 16S ribosomal RNA". It matches the Rfam family "Bacterial small subunit ribosomal RNA", at positions 28 to 507 of the family's 1533-position model. The record is from RNAcentral.